Molecule: long non-coding RNA, 886 nt
Organism: Scophthalmus maximus (turbot)
Lineage: Eukaryota; Metazoa; Chordata; Actinopteri; Pleuronectiformes; Scophthalmidae
Exons: 4
Source: RefSeq, a predicted model, not a curated record
GCCGUUACGCUUCAGGACUCAUUUUCUUAUUUCCUCUUAAAGCCGCCCAAUCAGAAGAAGAUUCACACGCAGGGACAGACCACCAGCCCAGAGGGCUGUCGGGAAACAUCUGCAGGGACCUCUAUCCACAAGGGCGUUCAAUCGAACUGUGAGGUACAUUUCAAACAAACAAAAUGAUGUCAAGUAAAGCCUCCUCAGCUCUGACCAGCCAUGAAGCCACAGGUUCGUUGUUAAACUGGCGGGGAGGCAGAGGAGGAGAUGAUGACUGAGGUUCAAUGCUGGACACUAUCCUCACAGACGAGCACAGAGGACCGAUUGAGAACUUGGUCACAUGGCGCAACAACAAUCACCUGAAGCUCAGUAUCACCAGCAUCAACCCUGUGGCGGACAACCAGAGGAACAGGCGGCCCCUUGUCCUGGUUGACAUCCAGGGAGAGGAAGUGUAGAUGGUGGACUCCAGAAAAAGUCCAUUUAAAUAAAUAAAGGCCACAAAACCAUUUUAGCAGAACAUUAUCAUGUCAGAGUGAAUAUGACCCCGACCUUUUAGUUAUAAACGCAAUCACUUCAUCGUUUUUUUUCUCCAAUGAGACAGUGGUGUGGAAUUUUGUCAUGAUUAGCUUUGACUUUUGACCUCCAAAAUCUGAUCAAUUCUUCCUAAAGACCGAACCUUACUCCCUGAAUUUAUCAUUAGAAAAAGACAAUUCUAAAAUGAGCCCCUUGAAGCUGAUUUUCCCUUUUUAAAAAUGUGUAUGUAGCCUCUUGAUUCUUGCCCUUGUGGGUAAUAUCUUUAUGGUUAAAUGAACUUAUUGUAAGUUGCUCUGGACAAAAGCCUCUGCUGAAUGAAUGUAAUGUAAUCACUGACAAUAAACCUGUUUCCUUUUCUCCA